GUCUACGGCCAUAGUACCCUGAAUGCACCCAAUCUCUUCUGAUCUCGGAAGCUAAGUAGGGUUGGGCAUGGUUAGUACUUGGAUGGGAGAUUGCCUGGGAAUACUGGGUGCUGUAGGCU
Otolemur garnettii (small-eared galago) is the source of this 119-nucleotide ribosomal RNA. Lineage: Eukaryota; Metazoa; Chordata; Mammalia; Primates; Galagidae. The record is from Ensembl.